Molecule: long non-coding RNA, 439 nt
Organism: Pyrgilauda ruficollis (rufous-necked snowfinch)
Lineage: Eukaryota; Metazoa; Chordata; Aves; Passeriformes; Passeridae
Exons: 3
Source: RefSeq, a predicted model, not a curated record
UUUAGAACGUGUGGUAAUAUGUUCUGAGACCUUCCAUAUGUUAAUUAUGCAUGCUUCACUCUAUGGCUACGGGAGGCUUGUGAAAUCAAAGCAAAAUUGCAGGGCCCCAAAUGUGAAUAACAGCACCAAGGUGUUCUGAGGAUUUGGGAAGAAACUUGACUUGGCUGCAGGGACAAUGGAGACAACAGAAGAAACAGCACAUAAUGGGUUCUGAUUAAGAUGGAAAUCUUUAUCAGAUUAUCUUUAUCUGAUAAAGAUGGGAGAAGAUCUAUGGCAAAGCCCUCAGAGCUGCUGCAGUUGUGUUCUGCCUUUGGACUGAAGGGAAAACUCCUGCAUUCACUGAACAUCCUUGCACUCAAAGAGCUCUUUGUGAUGCCUUGACCUGGAUCAGAGGCUGGAUGGAGUUCCAGAAUAAAGCAGGGAUUGAUUCCAAGGAUCU